AGCCCCGUAGUCUAGCGGCCAACUUGCCAGGAGGGCUAGGGAUACCAGGCUCUGGACCUGGCGACCCCAGUUCGAAUCUGGGCGGGGCUA
RNAcentral lists this transfer RNA (90 nucleotides) under Nitrososphaerota archaeon. RNAcentral describes it as "Thaumarchaeota archaeon tRNA-Gln". It matches the Rfam family "tRNA". Rfam says of the family: Transfer RNA (tRNA) molecules are approximately 80 nucleotides in length. Their secondary structure includes four short double-helical elements and three loops (D, anti-codon, and T loops). Further hydrogen bonds mediate the characteristic L-shaped molecular structure. tRNAs have two regions of fundamental functional importance: the anti-codon, which is responsible for specific mRNA codon recognition, and the 3' end, to which the tRNAs corresponding amino acid is attached (by aminoacyl-tRNA synthetases). tRNAs cope with the degeneracy of the genetic code in two manners: having more than one tRNA (with a specific anti-codon) for a particular amino acid; and 'wobble' base-pairing, i.e. permitting non-standard base-pairing at the 3rd anti-codon position. RNAcentral also lists the same sequence under 1 other name. The record is from RNAcentral. Lineage: Archaea; Thermoproteati; Nitrososphaerota.